This 317-nucleotide small RNA is filed under the name Arabidopsis thaliana (thale cress). RNAcentral's name for it is "ATSL006880". The record is from RNAcentral. Lineage: Eukaryota; Viridiplantae; Streptophyta; Magnoliopsida; Brassicales; Brassicaceae.
UUGGAAAGUGUGUCCCUGCCCAAUGUUCAGUUAGUUUUUUCAAACGGGAUUGUUGGUGUUGUUUUAGAGAUCAAAGUAUGUGUUCGAAAACCCAAAAAGAAUGUGAAUCCAAUCCCCGUUGUCCUCCUUUAAAGUUUUAAACUUUUUGAAAAUUAAUGUACUGCUAUGAAAUUUACAACUUUAUAAUGUUUUACUCAAUGUAAGAACGCUCUAUAUAACCUGACUACACUACCUGGCAAUGUACGACCUUGAUUAAAAUUAUUUUUAAGAAACCAAAGAAGCUAAAAUGAAUAGGUGCAUAUUGGUAUAGUUAAUAU